This 238-nucleotide ribosomal RNA is filed under the name uncultured bacterium. RNAcentral describes it as "partial 16S ribosomal RNA". It matches the Rfam family "Bacterial small subunit ribosomal RNA", at positions 15 to 217 of the family's 1533-position model. The record is from RNAcentral.
GAUCAUGGCUCAGGAUAAACGCUGGCGGCGCACAUAAGACAUGCAAGUCGAACGGAAGUCGUUAUAAAAAGGAUUGAAGAUUUAUCUGAUUGAGAUUUUAUAACAAUGGCUUUAGUGGCGGACUGGUGAGUAACACGUAAGCAACCUGCCUAUUAGAGGGGAACAACAGUUAGAAAUGACUGCUAAUACCGCAUAUGCCAUAGUGAAGACACCUUCACAGUGGGAAAGGAGCAAUCCG